Molecule: ribosomal RNA, 252 nt
Filed under: Lactiplantibacillus plantarum
Lineage: Bacteria; Bacillati; Bacillota; Bacilli; Lactobacillales; Lactobacillaceae
Description: partial 16S ribosomal RNA
Rfam family: Bacterial small subunit ribosomal RNA
Source: RNAcentral
UUACAUUUGAGUGAGUGGCGAACUGGUGAGUAACACGUGGGAAACCUGCCCAGAAGCGGGGGAUAACACCUGGAAACAGAUGCUAAUACCGCAUAACAACUUGGACCGCAUGGUCCGAGUUUGAAAGAUGGCUUCGGCUAUCACUUUUGGAUGGUCCCGCGGCGUAUUAGCUAGAUGGUGGUAACGGCUCACCAUGGCAAUGAUACGUAGCCACCUGAGAGGGUAAUCGGCCACAUUGGGACUGAGACACGG